GACUGGAUAGCCUAGUGGUAAAGGCAUCACUCCUAGUAAAGUGGCUUAGCUAAUGCUGAGGUCCCAGGUUGGAAUCCUGGUCUAGUCA
This 88-nucleotide transfer RNA is filed under the name Puccinia graminis f. sp. tritici. It matches the Rfam family "tRNA". Rfam says of the family: Transfer RNA (tRNA) molecules are approximately 80 nucleotides in length. Lineage: Eukaryota; Fungi; Basidiomycota; Pucciniomycetes; Pucciniales; Pucciniaceae. The record is from Rfam by way of RNAcentral.